RNAcentral lists this long non-coding RNA (392 nucleotides) under Salvia miltiorrhiza (redroot sage). Its description in RNAcentral is "long non-coding RNA (SMIL_LNC013791)". Lineage: Eukaryota; Viridiplantae; Streptophyta; Magnoliopsida; Lamiales; Lamiaceae. The record is from RNAcentral.
GUGGGUGUUCUUGGUGGAUGAGAGUUGAGAAGUCUAGCUGGUCUUUGUCCGAGCAUCUGAGUUGGUUAUUGUUUCUUGGCUUGUUGUUGUUCGCUGACUUUUUCUUUCUUCCUGUUUUUUUAUGUCGUUUAUUUUCGGUUUCUUUUUGUGUUGGGGAGCCGGGAUUAUUUAGGGGCAAUGGUUCGGCCGGUAAGUAUUAUCUUAGGAGGUUAGCAUGUUGCACUGAAAUAGGUUUUCUUUUUUCUUUUUUAAUAAAAUCUCAUUUUAAUAAUUUUUAGUCUUUCAUUUUAAAAUAGGGUCGCGUUCAAUGGAGAACAUGAACACGUCCAUGUUCAUUGGUGGCCGUCGUUUUCCACCAAAUAAUUCCUGCAGAAUUAUCAAGAACUAAUUAG